Molecule: ribosomal RNA, 559 nt
Filed under: Klebsiella pneumoniae
Lineage: Bacteria; Pseudomonadati; Pseudomonadota; Gammaproteobacteria; Enterobacterales; Enterobacteriaceae
Description: partial 23S ribosomal RNA
Rfam family: Bacterial large subunit ribosomal RNA
Source: RNAcentral
GGUAGUUUGACUGGGGCGGUCUCCUCCCAAAGCGUAACGGAGGAGCACGAAGGUUAGCUAAUCCUGGUCGGACAUCAGGAGGUUAGUGCAAUGGCAUAAGCUAGCUUGACUGCGAGCGUGACGGCGCGAGCAGGUGCGAAAGCAGGUCAUAGUGAUCCGGUGGUUCUGAAUGGAAGGGCCAUCGCUCAACGGAUAAAAGGUACUCCGGGGAUAACAGGCUGAUACCGCCCAAGAGUUCAUAUCGACGGCGGUGUUUGGCACCUCGAUGUCGGCUCAUCACAUCCUGGGGCUGAAGUAGGUCCCAAGGGUAUGGCUGUUCGCCAUUUAAAGUGGUACGCGAGCUGGGUUUAGAACGUCGUGAGACAGUUCGGUCCCUAUCUGCCGUGGGCGCUGGAGAAUUGAGGGGGGCUGCUCCUAGUACGAGAGGACCGGAGUGGACGCAUCACUGGUGUUCGGGUUGUCAUGCCAAUGGCACUGCCCGGUAGCUAAAUGCGGAAGAGAUAAGUGCUGAAAGCAUCUAAGCACGAAACUUGCCCCGAGAUGAGUUCUCCCUGAGACU